This 245-nucleotide ribosomal RNA is filed under the name uncultured bacterium. RNAcentral describes it as "partial 16S ribosomal RNA". It matches the Rfam family "Bacterial small subunit ribosomal RNA", at positions 526 to 779 of the family's 1533-position model. The record is from RNAcentral.
CGGAGGAUCCGAGCGUUAUCCGGAUUAUUGGUUAAGGUGCGUAGGCGGCCUAUUAAGUCAGGGUGAAUACGGUGGCUCAACCAUCGCAGUGCCUUUGAUACUGAUGGGCUUGAAUCCAUUUGAAGUGGCGGAAUAAGACAAGUAGCGGUGAAGUGCAUAGAUAUGUCUUAGAACUCCGAUUGCGAAGGCAGCUCACUAAGCUGGUAUUGACGCUGAUGCACGAAAGCGUGGGAUCGAACAGGAUU